Long non-coding RNA from Dermacentor silvarum, 236 nucleotides. RefSeq lists it as uncharacterized. The record is from RefSeq and is a predicted model, not a curated record. NCBI's taxonomy places the organism in Eukaryota, Metazoa, Arthropoda, Arachnida, Ixodida, Ixodidae. The transcript has 3 exons.
GGGGGCGGAGACCGUGCACUCGUCGCGAUGACUGCAGCAAGCGCUGUGGGCGGCCUGGGAAGUUCGGCGUCCGAUAUAGCAUCGACUGUGAUGAACAAUCAGCAAGGAAAAAAUGAGGAAUGAUCCUGCAGUCUGCAUGAAUACCUUCACACCUGCUGGGGUAUGAAGACAAGAAAAGAGGAACCCUCAUCGUCAUCCUAACUACUAAGAAUAAAAGCAAAUAACGAGUGAGCAAU